GGGAGGGAGAGAGAGCUCAGUGUGCGUGGAACAGUGACACGGGAGAGACGCGCGACCGGCGGCUUCCCGUCCUCACUCUCUCGCCCGCGCGCCUCUCGGCUACGAUAAGAUAUUGCCAAGAAAAAUGACUUAGUAAGUGCGAGUGAAGGAAGGAAGAAAGAAGUGAAUAUUCCACGAACAAAAAGA
Penaeus vannamei (Pacific white shrimp) is the source of this 186-nucleotide non-coding RNA. Lineage: Eukaryota; Metazoa; Arthropoda; Malacostraca; Decapoda; Penaeidae. The record is from RefSeq and is a predicted model, not a curated record.